Molecule: ribosomal RNA, 474 nt
Filed under: uncultured bacterium
Lineage: Bacteria
Description: partial 16S ribosomal RNA
Rfam family: Bacterial small subunit ribosomal RNA
Source: RNAcentral
GACGAACGCUGGCGGCGUGCUUAACACAUGCAAGUCGAGCGGUAAGGCUCCUUCGGGAGUCCACGAGCGGCGCACGGGUGCGUAACACGUGAGUAAUCUGCCCUUCACUUCGGGAUAACCACCGGAAACGGUGGCUAAUACCGAAUACGACCAGUCUUCGCAUGAGGUGCUGGUGGAAAGUCUUUUCGGUGAAGGAUGUGCUCGCGGCCUAUCAGCUUGUUGGUGGGGUAAUGGCCUACCAAGGCUUCGACGGGUAGCCGGCCUGAGAGGGUGACCGGCCACACUGGGACUGAGACACGGCCCAGACUCCUACGGGAGGCAGCAGUGGGGAAGAUUGGACAAUGGGCGAAAGCCUGAUCCAGCAACGCCGCGUGAGGGAUGACGGCCUUCGGGUUGUAAACCUCGUUCAGUACCGACGAAGCGCCCUGUCGGGUGGUGACGGUAGGUACAGAAGAAGGACCGGCCAACUACGUG